This 19-nucleotide microRNA is filed under the name Glycine max (soybean). RNAcentral's name for it is "gma-miR10420". The record is from miRBase by way of RNAcentral. Lineage: Eukaryota; Viridiplantae; Streptophyta; Magnoliopsida; Fabales; Fabaceae.
CCUGAACCAUCAUUUUUUU